Molecule: long non-coding RNA, 1597 nt
Organism: Chlorocebus sabaeus (green monkey)
Lineage: Eukaryota; Metazoa; Chordata; Mammalia; Primates; Cercopithecidae
Source: RefSeq, a predicted model, not a curated record
GUGAUUCUCCUGCCUAAGCCUCCCAAAGUGUUAGGAUUACAGGCUUGAGCCACCGCGCACCGGCCCUUAUCCGCCAGGUUUGUUCAGGGAUGUGAGGCAGGAGAAUACGGUCUGGAGGCAGGGAACCUAAGGCCGAUUCAUGGUGACUUCCUAGAACUAAAUCAAAACGAAAACCCCAACUUUCCACACCCAAGUAACAAAAGAACCAGAGGCUACUCCCUUUGCCAGCCCCACUGUCUUCUUCCAUGUGGCUGAAGAAAAAUGGAAAGUACCUCUGAUUGGUCCCCUCCCGUAACCAAUCCGGCUGGUGGUGGGCCAAAUCUUCAUUUACAUAAGGCAUAAUUUUGUAACUUCACUUCAGCCUCUGAUUGGUCCCUUCCCGCAACCAAUCAGACUGAUAGUGGGCCAUUACUUCAUUUACAUAGGGUGUAUAGCACGUAACCAAUGGGAAACUUCUAGAGGGUAUUUAAACCCCAGAACACUCUAUAACCAGUCUUUUUAGCCGUUUGCUUAGGCUUGUUUCCUACCCUGUGAAGUGUGCUUUCGUUUACAAUAAAUCUCUGCUUUCGUUGUUUCAUUCGUUCCUUGCUUUGUUUAUGCGUUUUGACCAAUUAUUUGUUCAAAACACCAAGAACCUGGACACCCUCCACCAGUAACAGAAGUUAAAGGGGGAGCCGUUAACUUUGAAAAGUCAAAUGCCAUUUCCAAGGGGCUCAAAAUUGAUUUUCCAUGUUGUCAUUUACUGGAGCUCUACUGAAGAGGAUCUGGUCAGUGUGAUAAGUCUCAGCUUCAGUGCCACCUCUUCCGAGAAGCCCUCCGUGACCACCUCCACUGUUCCCACCACUCACCCUGUUGAUUUCCUCCACGGAACAAAGGUAUCUCAGUUUGCCACGAUGCACACUCUUGUUUCUUCCAGAUGGCCAGCUCUAGGAAGGCAGGGGCUCACCCAUCGUAUUCAUCCGUGCUGACCGUCCACGCUCACGUUUCAGGAAUUUGAGUGGCCCCGUGGGAACAGCAUCUCUGCUCCUUAAUGUCUGGGGCCUCACGUAGGGAGGCCUGCAUGGCUCCACUGGGGCCAUUAGUGUGUGGCCUGGUCUUCUCCAUGAGGUGUAUGCAGUGCUGGAGUGUCUGGGAGCUCCUUUGCUUACGAGUCUGGCUUCUUGGUGAUCCAGGUUUCUUCCUGUCUCUUUCCAUGUGGCUUGUACCCACCAGAGUCUGCCCCACCCUCAGUGGCUGGGCUUCGCACAGCCUGGUGGUCUCAGGAUAGCUGGGCUUCUUAUAUGAUGCCAGAUUUGAAGAGGCAAGAAACAGAGCCUGCCAGGCCAGGUAGGCUCCUCCCCCAAAGCUGACCCAGCCUCGCUUCUCGGUAUACUAUUAAAGCCAUCCCAGGGCCGCCCCACACCCACGGCCCACUUGCGUCUUGAUGGGGGCAUGGCAGAGUCAUGUUGCAGAAGGGCAUGUGGGGGUGGGAACUAUUACUGCAGCCAUUUUUGGAAACUUCAAUCUGCAACAUAGAAAGUGGAGGGAAGGGGCCGGGCGCGGUGGCUCACGCCUAUAAUCCCAGCACUUUGGGAGGCCAAGGUGGGUGGGUCAUGAA